UACGUAGGGUGCGAGCGUUGUCCGGAAUUCUUGGGCGUAAAGAGCUCGUAGGCGGUUUGUCGCGUCGACUGUGAAAACCUACAGCUUAACUGUGGGCUUGCAGUCGAUACGGGCAGACUUGAGUUCGGUAGGGGAGACUGGAAUUCCUGGUGUAGCGGUGAAAUGCGCAGAUAUCAGGAGGAACACCGGUGGCGAAGGCGGGUCUCUGGGCAGUAACUGACGCUGGGGAGCGAAAGCGUGGGGAGCGAACAGG
RNAcentral lists this ribosomal RNA (253 nucleotides) under uncultured bacterium. Its description in RNAcentral is "partial 16S ribosomal RNA". It matches the Rfam family "Bacterial small subunit ribosomal RNA", at positions 524 to 776 of the family's 1533-position model. The record is from RNAcentral.